GAUGAACGCUGGCGGCGUGCCUAAUACAUGCAAGUCGAGCGAACGGACGAGAAGCUUGCUUCUCUGAUGUUAGCGGCGGACGGGUGAGUAACACGUGGAUAACCUACCUAUAAGACUGGGAUAACUUCGGGAAACCGGAGCUAAUACCGGAUAAUAUUUUGAACCGCAUGGUUCAAAAGUGAAAGACGGUCUUGCUGUCACUUAUAGAUGGAUCCGCGCUGCAUUAGCUAGUUGGUAAGGUAACGGCUUACCAAGGCAACGAUGCAUAGCCGACCUGAGAGGGUGAUCGGCCACACUGGAACUGAGACACGGUCCAGACUCCUACGGGAGGCGGCAGUAGGGAAUCUUCCGCAAUGGGCGAAAGCCUGACGGAGCAACGCCGCGUGAGUGAUGAAGGUCUUCGGAUCGUAAAACUCUGUUAUUAGGGAAGAACAUAUGUGUAAGUAACUGUGCACAUCUUGACGGUACCUAAUCAGAAAGCCACGGCUAACUACGUGCCAGCAGCCGCGGUAAUACGUAGGUGGCAAGCGUUAUCCGGAAUUAUUGGGCGUAAAGCGCGCGUAGGCGGUUUUUUAAGUCUGAUGUGAAAGCCCACGGCUCAACCGUGGAGGGUCAUUGGAAACUGGAAAACUUGAGUGCAGAAGAGGAAAGUGGAAUUCCAUGUGUAGCGGUGAAAUGCGCAGAGAUAUGGAGGAACACCAGUGGCGAAGGCGACUUUCUGGUCUGUAACUGACGCUGAUGUGCGAAAGCGUGGGGAUCAAACAGGAUUAGAUACCCUGGUAGUCCACGCCGUAAACGAUGAGUGCUAAGUGUUAGGGGGUUUCCGCCCCUUAGUGCUGCAGCUAACGCAUUAAGCACUCCGCCUGGGGAGUACGACCGCAAGGUUGAAACUCAAAGGAAUUGACGGGGACCCGCACAAGCGGUGGAGCAUGUGGUUUAAUUCGAAGCAACGCGAAGAACCUUACCAAAUCCUGACAUCCUUUGACAACUCUAGAGAUAGAGCCUUCCCCUUCGGGGGACAAAGUGACAGGUGGUGCAUGGUUGUCGUCAGCUCGUGUCGUGAGAUGUUGGGUUAAGUCCCGCAACGAGCGCAACCCUUAAGCUUAGUUGCCAUCAUUAAGUUGGGCACUCUAAGUUGACUGCCGGUGACAAACCGGAGGAAGGUGGGGAUGACGUCAAAUCAUCAUGCCCCUUAUGAUUUGGGCUACACACGUGCUACAAUGGACAAUACAAAGGGCAGCGAAACCGCGAGGUCAAGCAAAUCCCAUAAAGUUGUUCUCAGUUCGGAUUGUAGUCUGCAACUCGACUACAUGAAGCUGGAAUCGCUAGUAAUCGUAGAUCAGCAUGCUACGGUGAAUACGUUCCCGGGUCU
Molecule: ribosomal RNA, 1372 nt
Filed under: uncultured bacterium
Lineage: Bacteria
Description: bacterial SSU rRNA
Rfam family: Bacterial small subunit ribosomal RNA
Source: RNAcentral